UGACAAAGAGAAUAGAAGGAGAAUAAGUUUCCUUACUUGAUUUGUUACACAUGACAAGGUAUUUAAAGACAUACAAGAAUGCAUAAACAAUGAGAAGAUAGUACAAGGGAAAGAAUAAACAAAGAGGAAGCAGAUCCGCGGAUGGCUCGUUCAGCAAGAGGGAUAGUGACAGCUCCCAACGGUCAGCUCCCUCUCUCUUCU
RNAcentral lists this long non-coding RNA (201 nucleotides) under Brassica rapa (field mustard). RNAcentral describes it as "long non-coding RNA (BRAP_LNC008371)". The record is from RNAcentral. Lineage: Eukaryota; Viridiplantae; Streptophyta; Magnoliopsida; Brassicales; Brassicaceae.